AAUGACCUAACGGUUGAACCAGCAACUUGGAAGAAUGUAUAGCUAAGCUAAAUGUUUUUUUUAAAACAUAUUCGAUUUACUCGUAUAAAGUUCUAGGUAGAAUUAUGAUAAUGACAUUAUCUAUCUAUAAGUCUUGACCAACAUGCGUGCCAGCAGUCGCGGCAAGACGCUAAAGACUAGUGUUAUUCAUUUUUAAUAGGUUUAAAGGGUACCUAGACGGUAAAUUAAGCCUUAACAGGAACUAAUUUAACUAGAGUUAAAUGUAAGAGUGCAUUAACGUACUAUUGAGUGUAGAGAUGAAAUUCUGUCAUACCAGAUUAUUGGCACGGGUUUAGGCGAAAGCAUCACUUUAUGUAAUAACUGACGUUGAGGGACGAAGGCUUUGUAUCGCUAAAAGGAUUAGAUACCCUCGUAGUCUAAGCAGACAAUGAUGAAUGUCAUAGGUUAAAUAUUUUUUAGUCUAUAAAUGAAAGUGUAAGCAUUCCACCUCAAGAGUAAUUUGGCAACAUUGGAAUUGAAAUCAUUAGACCGUUUCUGAAACCAGUAGUGAAGUAUGUUGUUUAAUUAGAUGGUCCACAAAAAACCUUACCACAACUUGAAUAUUUUACAAGCGUUGCACGGCUGUCUUCAGUUAAUGUCGUGAGAUUAUGGUUAGUUCCAUAAAAUUAACGUAAACCCUUACUUUAUUUUAUUUUAUAUAAAGUAGUUCGCCGCUAUAUUGGUUAGAUAAAAGGGAAUAAGACAAGUCAUCAUGGCCUAAAUGUUGU
This 767-nucleotide ribosomal RNA is filed under the name Leptogium sp. RNAcentral describes it as "SSU rRNA". It matches the Rfam family "Bacterial small subunit ribosomal RNA", at positions 370 to 1210 of the family's 1533-position model. The record is from RNAcentral. Lineage: Eukaryota; Fungi; Ascomycota; Lecanoromycetes; Peltigerales; Collemataceae.